Long non-coding RNA from Oxyura jamaicensis (ruddy duck), 958 nucleotides. RefSeq lists it as uncharacterized. Lineage: Eukaryota; Metazoa; Chordata; Aves; Anseriformes; Anatidae. The transcript has 3 exons. The record is from RefSeq and is a predicted model, not a curated record.
UCUGGUAUUCCCAGGAAAUUCAUGGCUGUGACAUAACUCUGUCAAAAGCAAACUCAUAUUAGUAGCUGAUAUUUAGUUGUAGAGAAAGAGGUAUAAGACUGCAAUUUAAGAAUAUCCCUUCUGUCAUUUGGCAUUUCUAUUUUCUUUUAUGACAAUCUCCUGCUAAUGUUCAGUCAUCUGCAAAGAGACACCCCAUUGCUUUCAGCUAUCCAAGGACUUCAUCUCUUUGUUGAAAAGACUGAUUAAAACAUGGUACCUUUCCUCCAUAUCUCUAAAGAACAUUGGAGUGCUGCAUGCAGAUGCAAGGACCCAGCACUUCAUGACCAGCUGCAGGAUCUUAGCAACGCACUUCAAGUAAAAUUUAUGAAAAAGUUCAUUCAUAUCCCAUGAUCUAGCAUACAGAAGACUUUUUAAAGUCAGUAUUUUGCUUCUUUCCAUUAAAAUAAUCUUAAAUAGGAGCUCUUCCAUCAUCCCAAAAUAGAAAUUCAACAAUACUUCAGCUCACUCCAAACCAUCUGUUUACACUCAUUUCUAUGACAAACUUCUUAGUGAUUUGCAUUUUGCCCAGGCUGUCAGUUUAGCCUUUGCCAAUUUUAAAUAACAUCCCACAAUUGUGGUAGUUCUUUUCAGUCAUAGUGAUAGAAUACAUUUUAAACAAAAGAAGGAAUGGCUCAAGAUAACUGUAUAGAUAUGUGAAAGUAAGCUAAAAAUUAUGUAGAAAACAAGCAGUGCAACAAAAUGUUAUUUGACACGUCUUUAAAAUUUGUACCAUGAACAAUAUAUGGAUUAUACAAUGCAUAUAUAGAUACUUAUUUGUAAUACAGUUUUGCCAUGUAAAAUAUGCAUGCCCGCAACAUGGAUUUAUAAUUUUUCAUGGCUUAUUAGUAAAAGUGCUUCAUUAAAAUUGUGACCAAGACAUGACUCUGAGUUGAUCACCAUCUAAUAAUAGAUUAAAAUG